GGCAGCCGUCUCUGUCCCUGAGACCCUUAACCUGUGAGGGCAGCGCAGAAUUCACAGGUGAGGUUCUUGGGAACCGAGCGACUGGCCC
This is a microRNA precursor of Chelonoidis abingdonii (Abingdon island giant tortoise), 88 nucleotides long. The record is from Ensembl. Lineage: Eukaryota; Metazoa; Chordata; Testudines; Testudinidae.